UUGCGACUCCCUCCAUCCGAAAUUACUUGUCAUCAAAAUGGAUGUAUCUAGAACUAACAUACAUCUUGAUACGUCCAUUUCUAUGACAAAUAAUUCCGAACGGAGGGGGUAUAUU
Non-coding RNA from Hordeum vulgare subsp. vulgare (domesticated barley), 115 nucleotides. Lineage: Eukaryota; Viridiplantae; Streptophyta; Magnoliopsida; Poales; Poaceae. The record is from Rfam.